GACAGAGGGUGCAAACGUUGUUCGGAAUUACUGGGCGUAAAGCGAGUGUAGGCGGUCUCAUAAGUCGGGUGUGAAAGCCCUGGGCUCAACCUAGGAAGUGCAUUCGAAACUGCGAGGCUGGAGUCCUGGAGAGGAAGGCGGAAUUCUCGGUGUAGAGGUGAAAUUCGUAGAUAUCGAGAGGAACACCGGUGGCGAAGGCGGCCUUCUGGACAGUGACUGACGCUGAGACGCGAAAGCGUGGGGAGCAAACAGG
Molecule: ribosomal RNA, 253 nt
Filed under: uncultured bacterium
Lineage: Bacteria
Description: partial 16S ribosomal RNA
Rfam family: Bacterial small subunit ribosomal RNA
Source: RNAcentral